UAGAAAACAUACACAAAUUAACGCAUUUGUUUAAGACAGAUAUAACCUCUGACGUCAACAUGUACAAGUUCACCAAUACAAAAAACAAUAUUUUAAAACAAUUAUUAAAUGUGUAAUUUUUAUAAAACAAAUUUUCCUAAACAUUAAAAAUCAAUUAUAGAAAAAAAAAAUAAAUUUAUAGCGAUUUUUUACAUAUCUUUCACCGGGUUCCAAUUCAAAACAACAUAUUGUCAACACUGUUUAUCAACGUCUUUUCUUCGUCAACGGUUGUUGUCGUUUUUCGCUCGCAGAACGGAAUAAUACGGCAAGUGAAUUACUACAAUAAAAGUUUUUUUUUUGAAUUUUAACAAAUCAAAGAAUUUGUUUCAAUUGAAUUUAACAACUGCAACAUUUUAAUUUCAAUCAAAAUUUAAUAGAAUUUCAAAGCAAAGUUUUAAAUUACAUUGUGCUUGUAAAGAAUUUUUUGUGCAAAUUACAGAAAAAGCCAAGUUUCAAAAAUAAAAAAAAAGAACAAAAAAAAUUUUUUCUUCUCAUACAUACAUUGAGUAGUGAGUGCGUGUGUGUGUUUGUGUAUAAAAGUAUUUUUCUUUUCUACUUUCAACAAAAAAAGUUAAACAGCCAACAAACCAAACACCAGCUUAUAAACAGCCACCCUAAAAGAGUUUGUGGUUCAUUUUGAAAGGAAAACAAUAA
This is a long non-coding RNA of Lucilia cuprina (Australian sheep blowfly), 693 nucleotides long. RefSeq lists it as uncharacterized. Lineage: Eukaryota; Metazoa; Arthropoda; Insecta; Diptera; Calliphoridae. The record is from RefSeq and is a predicted model, not a curated record. The transcript has 2 exons.